GAAUAUUGGACAAUGGGCGCAAGCCUGAUCCAGCCAUGCCGCGUGUGUGAAGAAGGCCUUCGGGUUGUAAAGCACUUUUGUUGGGGAAGAAAGCUGCCGGGCGAAUACCCUGGCGGGAUGACGGUACCCAAAGAAUAAGCACCGGCUAACUUCGUGCCAGCAGCCGCGGUAAUACGAAGGGUGCAAGCGUUACUCGGAAUUACUGGGCGUAAAGCGUGCGUAGGCGGUUGAUUAAGUCUGCUGUGAAAGCCCCGGGCUCAACCUGGGAAUGGCAGUGGAAACUGGUCAGCUGGAGUGCGGUAGAGGAGGGUGGAAUUUCCGGUGUAGCGGUGAAAUGCGUAGAGAUCGGAAGGAACAUCCGUGGCGAAGGCGACCCUCUGGACCAGCACUGACGCUGAGGCACGAAAGCGUGGGGAGCAAACAG
This 424-nucleotide ribosomal RNA is filed under the name uncultured bacterium. Its description in RNAcentral is "bacterial SSU rRNA". It matches the Rfam family "Bacterial small subunit ribosomal RNA", at positions 359 to 775 of the family's 1533-position model. The record is from RNAcentral.